CCACAAGCGACAUCGCUUUUAGUCAGUCACAAAUGUCCGUGGUAGGAUGAUGUUUGAUUUUCUGUAGGAUGUAUGGAUAGGCUGACUAUUGGGCUAUGACAGUGAGUUCGAAACAAUAUUCAGAUUCAGAAAUAUUAAAAGUUAAAGAUUCAAAGACACAAAGUAACGAACGAGAAAUAUUACAACGUUUCGAAACACUGCUUGAAAGUCGGCAGGACAAUUUAUAUUUGCACCAAAAGAAAUUCGUCAAUAGCCAGGUUUUCAUUACUGAGUGAGAUGGAGGCCUAUCAAGUCUGCAGAACAACUUUCUGAAACACUUCUUGAAAGCGGGAAAGACAAUUUAUCAUUAUAUCUAAAGACAUGCGGAAUUAUUUGUCCGAUUAUGCAUCACUGAGAGAGGUGGCUACCUCGAGUCUAAAGAGCAAGUA
Non-coding RNA from Styela clava, 428 nucleotides. The record is from RefSeq and is a predicted model, not a curated record. Lineage: Eukaryota; Metazoa; Chordata; Ascidiacea; Stolidobranchia; Styelidae.